AGAAAUAUACAUACGGGCUUAUAAGAAUCCUCCAGUUACCUGAGCAUCAGAUGCGACUUCCUCUGCCCAUAUUUCCUUGCAUGGGCAAAUCGCCGAACAGGUACCGUGCGUUCCAUGGGAAGCGCAAACAACACCAGCAGAUCGAAGAGCAACGCGGCAAGGGCCGCUACAUCUGCGUCCCCGAUUCAACGGCGACGCGACGACAGCUUGUGGCGGCGGCGGUGAAGGCCGUGGCAACCUGCACUCCUCCACGCGGUGGCAGCAGCGGGCUCGUGCAGCAAGGAAGGCGGCAGAGCCGUGCAGCCCUGUGCGCGUCUAACGUCUCGAUCGCUAGGCAGGAUUUUGGGAGCUUAGCUGUAUCUCCCGGCCUCUAUAUCAAGAUUCCAAGAUCAGUAAAAUUUGUCAAGAGAAGCAAAAGCAAAUCCAUGAAUUUAAUGGAAGAGCGAUGAUGAGACACUUUACCUCUUCCCCGGUGGCUGAUGUCAACUUGUCCAGCCGAAGGAGCAUUUGGAACGAGAGAAACCGCA
This 527-nucleotide long non-coding RNA is filed under the name Brachypodium distachyon (stiff brome). Its description in RNAcentral is "long non-coding RNA (BDIS_LNC003750)". The record is from RNAcentral. Lineage: Eukaryota; Viridiplantae; Streptophyta; Magnoliopsida; Poales; Poaceae.